UUUUUUGCCUUGUGCUGAAAAUAAAUGUCGACUGGUAUCUAUUUUAUGACUUGAGCUUUUUAAAGGUAGUGUGUGUGGUGAGGUCGGGGUUGGGGAGGAGGAAGCUUCAAGUCCUCAGAAAAGCCGGCUGGGUCCUGGGGACUGACCACGAGGGUGAGUGAUGGCAGGCACGCGAUGGCAGCGUGAGGCAGCUGGCCUGCAGCGGGGAGGCCGAAACAACCCGCAGCAGCUGCACAAACGCAAGAGGUCAGGCCGUGUUUGUGGACGCUGACUUCUCCCUAGGCACCCCUGGACGGUGGGAUACAUCAAAGCCCCACACCCAGGAAUAACACCCAGGGGAUGGAUGGUCUGUGUAUAAACCCCAUCCCAAGAUGCUGACCCAGGAGUUAGCUGCCAGCCCUCCGAGGGUGGAGUUACCUUCCUCCUGCACGUGCUAUUUCUGGAAGUAGGUUGUGUGAUGGAGGAGGAAAUAACCCAUAUUCCAAUAGUAUUGAGAAGGUAAAAUUCAAGUUAGUUUUCCUAUGCUACGUGGCCACUUUCUUUUUCUGAUGGAAGUGCCUUUUAACAGUCAACAGAUUUUGGUGAAGCCCCUGCAAUACACCAGCCACUGAGGCUAAGGGGUGACGACACAGAUCCUCAGGUUGAGGUGAGUCAGGAAGGGUUUCCCUAUGGGUUCCAUAUUAUACCUCUUUUCUUAUAACUAUCAUACUUGAGGUUGUGGAAUAUCUUUUUAGCCAAAGGCCUAUUACGAGAAAAACUAAUUUAAAAAAAAAAGAUAGGAAAAUAUAGUCUCUAAGAUCUAGGAGCUAAGAUGACGAUUAUUUUUAAUUGUUGCUUGUUGAAAUGGUUGGAAAUGUCUAAGAAAGACAGUUUUAUAUGGCAAGAGGAGGAGACCAUGAUACACUGAGGAAAACCAGGACAAAAGUUAUAAGGGCCAUUUUGAACAAGAGAAUGUUCCAAUUGUGUUUGUAAAGUGCUUGACAGUGCUUGACCCCCAAGAUGGGACAGUGAGAUUUCUGGACUGUUUUAUAUUGAAAGGAAGGCUCCAGUUUUUAAAUGAGUUGGGCUCCAAAAGCUGACCCGGAAGUCUGUGUCGUGGAAUGUAGACUGCUCUGCUGCAUAAGAACAUAAGGCAUAUUUAGGGCCGGGCGCGGUGGCUCAUGCCUGUCAUCCCAGCACUUUCGGAGGCUGAGGUGGGCGGAUCAUUUGAAGUCAGGAGUUCGAGACCAGCCUGGCCAACAUAGCGAAACCCUGUCUCUACUAAAAAUACAAAAGUUAGCUGGGUGUGGUGGUGCACGCCUGUAAUUCCAGCUACGUGGGAGACUGAGGGAGGAGAAUCGCUUGAACCAGGCAGGCGGAGAUUGCAGUGAGCCGAGAUCGCACCACUGCACUCCAGCCUGGGCAACAGAGUGAGACUCCACCUCAAAAAAAAGGAUAAAGAAUAUAAGACAUUUAGGGACCCCCACCUGUAGUCCCAGCUACUCAGGAAGGCUGAGGCAGAAGCAUCACCUGAGGCCAGGAGCUCUGGGCUGUAAGUGCGGUUGGCCCAUGGGGAGUCUGCCCUAAGUUCAGCAUCAUUAUGGUGACCUCACUGGAGCAGGGACCACAGGCUGCCUAAGGAGGGGUGAACCAGCCCAGAUGGGAAAUGCAGCAGGUCAAAACUCUUGUGCUGAUCUCCAGUGGGGCUGCAACUGUGAAUAGGCACUGUGCUCCAGCCUGGGCAACAUAGUGAGACCCUGUCUUUUAAAAACCAAAUACAUAUAUUAAAAACCAAAUAUAUAUAUAUAUAUAGUAUUUUUACACUAACAA
RNAcentral lists this long non-coding RNA (1809 nucleotides) under Homo sapiens (human). RNAcentral describes it as "HSALNT0025119". The stretch from base 1452 to 1745 matches the Rfam family "Metazoan signal recognition particle RNA". Lineage: Eukaryota; Metazoa; Chordata; Mammalia; Primates; Hominidae. The record is from RNAcentral.